Manacus vitellinus (golden-collared manakin) is the source of this 1118-nucleotide long non-coding RNA. RefSeq lists it as uncharacterized. The record is from RefSeq and is a predicted model, not a curated record. Lineage: Eukaryota; Metazoa; Chordata; Aves; Passeriformes; Pipridae. The transcript has 4 exons.
GAUUGCAUUCUUUGGAGGAUCCCUGGACACUUCAGGAGAAUUAGUGGUUUAUGCCUCACAGCAGCCCGUAAGGUGGUGCUUCCUUUCAAAAUGGUCAAAGGCAGUGGGACUUGGAGUGCCCGACACCCUGCUGUUUGCAUGGAUCUGACAUCGUCAUUUCUUCUCCAGAGUGAAGAAGACUCUGUAGCUGAAGAAGUAACAGAAAUUUGGAGUGUGACAGAGGAAAUAAACUGAAUGCAAAGAAGCAUGCAGAGGGGAGCUAAACUACACAACAUGAUGCAGGCACUGCUGUUUCUCAUCUGGCAGCAUUCUAUCAAAUGCAGAGCUGCAAUGUUGACUUGCAUCAGUGACGGAUCGAGCCCUCUGGGAGUCGGCAUAAUUGGAGAUCAGCAGUCUGGAAUCCUGCCCCUGAAGAAUCAGGAAAGAGGCUGUACCUGACACAGAAUCAAGCCAGAUUCAAAGUGAUGGGAAUGUUUAAGCUGUGAUAACUUUUUUUAAAAAUCCCUCUGCUACAUAAUUUAAGUAAAUAUUUGUAGGUGUCUGUAAUAGGGGUAAUUGCUGCAUUUCCUUUCAAACAAAAGCAAGGAGUGCAGUUUUCAGUAAUGUGAAAGAGAGGCAUUCUAAUGGAUGGGUUUAUCCUGAUUUUUCUGGCAGACAGUGCUUUUCAGCAGUUCUCAGGUGUCUUUUCUUGCAGCACACAAAAACUAGUUCGUGCCUGGACUUUCCCUUUACUGAUGCGAGAACUCCAGAGUAGCUGGCAAGUAGCGAGGCGUCCCCCUUCAUCAGAGAGCUGGGAUGGGCUGGCUGCAUGCGUGGAAAGCAGCAGGGGUAGGUAUGAGGGAGUGAACAGGAGGUGUCUGGCUGCAACCACGAGAAGGAGGAAUGGUACAUAUGUGCCAGCAGAAAGGUGACCAUCUGUAGAGGAAGGAAGGAGGGUGCCUAGCACUGCUGGAAGUCACAGAGAUGAACUGCAGCUCAGAGCGGCUGGAUUUGGCAUCAUGGCAGUACAAACAGACAGCUUUCAGCUUAGAUUGAAGCCCAGGUCCCAGAGAAUCCGUGAAAUAAUUUGUAGCUCAAAGGAUGUCAAAGAAUUAUGAGGGAUUCCAGGCAACAGGGUG